GAUGUGCCUGUGCUCAAUAUGUUGAUCCUGUGUGUGGUGUAAAUGGAGUGACGUACACCAAUGCUGGAUGUCUGACAUGCGCUGGGGUCCCCAUGGCUUGUAGGGGAGGUUGUCCUUGCUACAGACGCUACUGAACAUAACAGAGACAACACUUUACAGGAAAGUCAUCAGGGGCCUAUAGAAUAGUGUUUAGGUCUCUUACGUCUGUAAAAGUGAAUUUCUUUGUGUAAUAAAAGUAAUAUUCUUAAUAUA
Saccostrea cuccullata (small rock oyster) is the source of this 252-nucleotide long non-coding RNA. RefSeq lists it as uncharacterized. Lineage: Eukaryota; Metazoa; Mollusca; Bivalvia; Ostreida; Ostreidae. The record is from RefSeq and is a predicted model, not a curated record. The transcript is spliced from 2 exons.